Non-coding RNA from Chinchilla lanigera (long-tailed chinchilla), 626 nucleotides. The record is from the annotation of a RefSeq genome assembly. Lineage: Eukaryota; Metazoa; Chordata; Mammalia; Rodentia; Chinchillidae.
CCAGGCUCAGGAUGAAAAGCCAGUCCUGCCUGAGCAGCCCCAGUCUCCUCCCACAGGAGCCUUCAUCCAGCAUGGAGUUCUUGGCUCUGCUCCUCUGCCUGGUGGCAGCGCCCUGCUGUGUCCUGUCUCUGGUGCAGCUGCAGGAGUCAGGACCUGGCCUGGUGAAGCCUUCAGAGACCCUGUCCCUCACUUGUGCCAUCUCUGGAUUCUCCUUAACCAGUUAUCAUAUGCACUGGGUCCGUCAGGCUCCAGCGAAGGGGCUGGAGUGGAUUGGUGCUAUAUGGGAUAGUGGAAGCACAUAUUAUAACUCAGCCCUUCAGUCCCGAGUGCGCAUCAGCAGGGACACUUCCAAGAGCCAAGUUUCACUAACACUGAGCAUCCUGAGAACCGAGGACACGGCCGUGUAUUACUGUGCGAGAGACACAGUGAGGGGACGUCAGUGUGAGCCCAGACACAAACCUCCCUGCAGGGGCGCUCAGGACAGCAGGGGGCGCACAGCACGCACUGAGCUCUUGUCAGACCAAGGACCAGGUGCAGUUUUCCAGGACAGCUUUGCUGUUAGAGUCUGUGGUUUUCUCUUCCUGUCUCCAAAUUUGUUAAGAUGCUCUGCAGUGUUCGGCUUCUAG